Molecule: RNA transcript, 1122 nt
Organism: Canis lupus familiaris (dog)
Lineage: Eukaryota; Metazoa; Chordata; Mammalia; Carnivora; Canidae
Exons: 4
Source: RefSeq, a predicted model, not a curated record
GAUGAGGGUAGCGUCGAUAUAGAAGGGCACGCAGUAUCCUACCUAGAGAUCAUUCCAGAGAAAACAGGACAUAGGAAAGCUCCCAAGCGUGGCCCUGGACGGACAGGGGCAUUAAAGGAAGGUGUUGACCCUUGAGAUGACCUGGCAAAAGCAGAGCCAGGACCCAGCUCAUGCCUGGAAGGUGUGGGAGCGAAGGAACGUCAUAGAAGGAACGUUGAUUCAGGAGGAGGUUGGGCUUUGUCCUGCUUUGCCACUUCUCUGGCCCGUGGCCCAGGGUAGCAGUUGCCACAAAGACGUCGGGGUGGGCUGCUUGCCCCGGAACCACAGGCCCUGAAGGCUUCCUGCUGAAGCGGCCUGUGGUGGCCGCAGGGUGGCCCUGACGUGGCCGGGGGAUGUGCCUUCUUCAGCCUUCUUCCAGCGUGGCUCCAAGCCACUGGCCACUACAAGGCGUGACAGUCACCUCUGCAGUCCCCAGGGUGGCGAGCAGGUUGGGGGGGGUGGUCUCUGUGUGGCCAAGGACGACAUCCCCGUGUUGUUCUGCUCUCCACGGUCGGAGCAAACGGUUCCUCCCGCCGGUCCUCCCGGGAGGCUGCAGGUCUCCACCGACGUCCGUCUUCAGGGACCGGAGCUUUCCACGGCUCCACCGGGACCUUCAGCCGCUGUGUUGCCCCUGCCUCGUCCUCUGCGUCCGGCUCGAGCUUGGACAUUCUCCGACUGCAGCAGCUCGGGCCUGAGCUCCCGAGCCGGUUGUCGGCUUCCACCAAUGGUGACCAUUUUCUUCCUGAUUUUGAGAAGAGGAAAAAAAAAUUUCUCCGUGCAGGCCGAGGACUCGGUUCAACUUGCAAGUCUCAGAGCAUCGUGGCGUGUCCUCUGCUGCUUCGGGAUCAGCCCGUUCAUCGCCGCCUAGGAGCCAUUGAGCUGCUCUGCAAGCACAGAGGGCCUCAAGCAGCCACCUGGCCAAGGGCUGUUGAGCAGACCGGGGUGCACACCUCCUUGUUGGGGGCACGGGGGACGGCGGCCCGUCCCCAGCCUCCGGGUGGACCCAAGGAGAGCUUGUUGCAGAAAAAGAUUUCUUUUAUGUAUUCCUGAGAGACCCAGAGAGAGAGGCAGAGACACAGGCAG